RNAcentral lists this ribosomal RNA (468 nucleotides) under Lycosidae sp. BOLD:ACO0931. RNAcentral's name for it is "partial 16S ribosomal RNA". Lineage: Eukaryota; Metazoa; Arthropoda; Arachnida; Araneae; Lycosidae. The record is from RNAcentral.
CCUGUUUAACAAAAACAUUUUUAUUAGAGAUAAUUAAUAAUAAAAUCUGCUCAAUGAUAUUUAAAUAGCCGCAAUUCGUGCUAAGGUAGUAUAAUAAUUUGUCUUUUAAUUAAAGACCAAACAAAAGAUUUAACAUUUCAAUUUAUUUAUUAAUUUAAAUAUUUAAAUUAUUUUAACUGUAAAAAAACAAUUUUUUUUUUAAAAAGACGACAAGACCCUAUUGAACUUAACUUUAGUUUAACUGGGGCAGUUAAUUAAAUAUAAUUUUAUUUUAAAUCAAAAAAUAUAAGACCUAAUCUAAUUAAUUAAAAAAUCAAGUUACCAUAGGGAUAACAGAGUAAUAAUUUUUUAAAGAUCUUAUUUAAAAAAAUAGAUUACAACCUCGAUGUUGAAUUAAUAUUCUAAUUAACGCAAUAGUAAAUAAAGAAAGUCUGUUCGACUUUUAAAAAAUUACGUGAUCUGAGUUCA